RNAcentral lists this small RNA (132 nucleotides) under Leclercia adecarboxylata. RNAcentral describes it as "RtT sRNA". It matches the Rfam family "RtT RNA". From Rfam's summary of the family: This family represents a bacterial cis-regulatory element known as RtT RNA. Lineage: Bacteria; Pseudomonadati; Pseudomonadota; Gammaproteobacteria; Enterobacterales; Enterobacteriaceae. The record is from RNAcentral.
AGUUUGCACUUAUCGGGAAGGGUGAGAACCUUCGAUUAAGGUUCGGGUCGAGCGAAAGCGAGACAACGUUGCCAGAGGCAACGGCCCGAAGGGUGAGGAGCGGAGCGACAAAUAAUCCUUCCCCCACCACCA